RNAcentral lists this transfer RNA (69 nucleotides) under Ovis aries (sheep). It matches the Rfam family "tRNA". From Rfam's summary of the family: Transfer RNA (tRNA) molecules are approximately 80 nucleotides in length. Their secondary structure includes four short double-helical elements and three loops (D, anti-codon, and T loops). Further hydrogen bonds mediate the characteristic L-shaped molecular structure. tRNAs have two regions of fundamental functional importance: the anti-codon, which is responsible for specific mRNA codon recognition, and the 3' end, to which the tRNAs corresponding amino acid is attached (by aminoacyl-tRNA synthetases). tRNAs cope with the degeneracy of the genetic code in two manners: having more than one tRNA (with a specific anti-codon) for a particular amino acid; and 'wobble' base-pairing, i.e. permitting non-standard base-pairing at the 3rd anti-codon position. Lineage: Eukaryota; Metazoa; Chordata; Mammalia; Artiodactyla; Bovidae. The record is from Rfam by way of RNAcentral.
CCUGGUGGCUCAGAUGGUAAAGCAUCUGCCUGCAAUGUGGGAGACCCGGGUUCGAUCCCUGGGCCAGGA